RNAcentral lists this ribosomal RNA (259 nucleotides) under uncultured bacterium. RNAcentral's name for it is "partial 16S ribosomal RNA". It matches the Rfam family "Bacterial small subunit ribosomal RNA", at positions 793 to 1050 of the family's 1533-position model. The record is from RNAcentral.
GUCCACGCCCUAAACGAUGUCUACUAGUUGUCGGGUUUUAAUUAACUUGGUAACGCAGCUAACGCGUGAAGUAGACCGCCUGGGGAGUACGGUCGCAAGAUUAAAACUCAAAGGAAUUGACGGGGACCCGCACAAGCGGUGGAUGAUGUGGAUUAAUUCGAUGCAACGCGAAAAACCUUACCUACCCUUGACAUGUACGGAAGGCCGGAGAGAUUUGGCUGUGCUCGAAAGAGAACCGUAACACAGGUGCUGCAUGGCU